This 580-nucleotide long non-coding RNA is filed under the name Mustela putorius furo (domestic ferret). RNAcentral's name for it is "lncRNA (ENSMPUG00000026037.1)". The record is from RNAcentral. Lineage: Eukaryota; Metazoa; Chordata; Mammalia; Carnivora; Mustelidae.
ACAUGAUUGCCCUCAACUUUCAGAUUUGGAUGAAACACUCAACUUCGAUUCUUCUGGAAGUGCGAACAAGUUAGUCAGUCCCCUAUGGGAUGAACCUUAAGAAUGAGAAGCAGGAUCUGGGCAAAAUCAUCUCCCCUCUCUCUACUUGAUGGCUUCAUGGGGCAGUUCCUUCUCCCUCAUUCUAAUAAGGAAGAUGCUGUGUUGUGAGCUGUUCAAUGGAGAUCUCCAGUGUAGCAAGAAACUCAGGAAAGCCUGUGGUCAUAAGCUAAGAGUAACUGAAUUCCAGCAAACUGGGAGCAACCAUCCUGCUGACAAUCAGAUGAAUUGCAUUCUACAGCCUUCCAUCUACUAACAAAGCCUUUGCCAACCAGGAAGGUCCUACAACUACCCAGGACUUUAGGUGACCUAUUCCAUUGGUCCUAAAAUUAUGCCGCAUUAUAUGGGCCAAGCUUGUGUUUUGGAGCCCUACCUAUCCAUGGUGAAGGACUUCUUUUCAUGGACACCAACAGAGAUUUCUCACCUAAGCUUAUAUCUUUGCAGUUAAUACAAUCAUGGGAAUGGGUUUGUGUAUGAGUUUCAC